UAGCUUUGUCCUAAGUCAAACUCCUUAAAGUUUGACCAAGUUAAAAAUCUACCAACAUCUACACUCUAAAUUAGUUUUAUUAAAUCCGUCAUGGUAUAUAACUUCAUAGUAUGCUUAUUUGAUAUUGUAGAUGUUAGUAUAUUUUUCUAUAAACUUGGUCAAACUUUUAGAAGUUUGACUUAGAACAAAGCUAG
Molecule: non-coding RNA, 194 nt
Organism: Brachypodium distachyon (stiff brome)
Lineage: Eukaryota; Viridiplantae; Streptophyta; Magnoliopsida; Poales; Poaceae
Source: Rfam